This 216-nucleotide long non-coding RNA is filed under the name Elaeis guineensis (African oil palm). RNAcentral describes it as "long non-coding RNA (EGUI_LNC004343)". The record is from RNAcentral. Lineage: Eukaryota; Viridiplantae; Streptophyta; Magnoliopsida; Arecales; Arecaceae.
GGGGCAGAAGCGGCCUAGCUCAUUAAAUUUGUUAGCAUAUUCUAGCACUGUCAUAUCAUCCUUUUGCUUUAAGGCUAGAAACUCAUUUUCUUUUACCAAUCUCAUUGUCCCCGGAAAGUACUAAUCAUAAAAUAUCUCUUUGAAUUCUUCCCAAGUGAGCUGAUCAUCAUUGUUCCCAUAGGCAGCUUUUAUUGCAGUCCACCAAAACUCGGCAUU